Long non-coding RNA from Liolophura sinensis, 292 nucleotides. RefSeq lists it as uncharacterized. NCBI's taxonomy places the organism in Eukaryota, Metazoa, Mollusca, Polyplacophora, Chitonida, Chitonidae. The transcript is spliced from 3 exons. The record is from RefSeq and is a predicted model, not a curated record.
AGUUAAAUUUCAUACAAACAAGACCUGCGUGGAGAGGUAACCCCAAAUGUACAGCGAGAUGUGCUAAUUUUUAGGUGGAAAAUUAUGGACAGUUGUUUUUAACAACGAGAAUCAGAAGCCAGUUCACCGUGUUGAUAGUGAUCGGCAAAUAACAGAGGUGGGCCCCAGAUGGGAUUUAAUUAUAGAUGCGUGAGGCGACUGAUGAUUAGACAAUUUGGCAGUUGCAAGAACUUCUGGAUAUGGGUAUUUGUAACUGUGGUUGUGAUAUACUUGGUAGAUCUGAUGAUCUCUG